UCUCUUCUUUUUAUUAUGUGUAUUCUUUGUCAAAAACGUUGUCGGAUAUUGCAUAAAUGACAUAAAUUAAGGAGAUUGCAUUAAUAAAACUGCAUCUGCAAAUUAAAACUCAAUGGUCAAUGUGUGGAUGAACUGAAAUCCCAUGAGCUUUAAUAGGACUAUUCUCCAUCACAUAAUUGUGUUGUUAAAAGCCAGGAAUGACAUGCUAACUGUCCAUGCUAGAAGGCCUUCAUCUUGCAUUAUCCAGCAGAUUCAUCAAGACUCUCAAGAGGAUUUGAGAAGUGAACGAGGGUGUGCUUCAGUGGGUACAUGAUGUCAGACAGUGGGCUACUGAGGGAUUCUGUAGGUACCAGAUGUGAUGACCAACAUAACCUUCAGAAAUCAACUGAACAAAUGUUUCUAGCCUUUAUAAUCAGACUGAAUCCAGCAACAUCCUCACCAAGAAGAAGAGUUUGAUGCGUACAUGUCAAAAGUGUGUCUUGAAGAGGAAAGACUGAUUGUGAUGAGGAAGAUGAGACAGCACUGCACCGAGCUCAGAAAUCUGGCUGGGAACAUCAGGACAAUGACAUCAGAAAUGAACUUUUGUUACACCUUCUUGUGUGUGAAGCUUUUGGGGAGACCGGGUUCCUACCCAACCACUGUUAUAUGUCCUUUUUAUGAACAUAGUCUUUUGAUUAAUGUGUAUUUUUUAAUUUUAUUUUUUCUAGGUCAGAAUUUGAAAAAACGUGA
Molecule: long non-coding RNA, 729 nt
Organism: Carassius auratus (goldfish)
Lineage: Eukaryota; Metazoa; Chordata; Actinopteri; Cypriniformes; Cyprinidae
Exons: 4
Source: RefSeq, a predicted model, not a curated record